UACGAGUGCCCCGAGCGUUAUCCGGAAUCAUUGGGCGUAAGGGGGUGUAGGUCGUAGUGUUAGUCUUCUGUCAAAACCCGGGGCUUAACCCCGGAUCCGCGGAAGAAACGGCACAACUAGAGGAUGCGAGGGAUGUGUGGAACUCAUGGAGUAGGGGUGAAAUCCGUUGAUAUCAUGGGGAACACCGAAAGCGAAGGCAGCACAUUGGCGCACUCCUGACACUGAAACACGAAAGCGUGGGUAGCGAAUGGG
This 252-nucleotide ribosomal RNA is filed under the name uncultured bacterium. Its description in RNAcentral is "partial 16S ribosomal RNA". It matches the Rfam family "Bacterial small subunit ribosomal RNA", at positions 524 to 776 of the family's 1533-position model. The record is from RNAcentral.